This 253-nucleotide ribosomal RNA is filed under the name uncultured bacterium. RNAcentral's name for it is "partial 16S ribosomal RNA". It matches the Rfam family "Bacterial small subunit ribosomal RNA", at positions 524 to 776 of the family's 1533-position model. The record is from RNAcentral.
UACGGGGGGGGCGAGCGUUGUUCGGAAUCAUUGGGCGUAAAGGGUGCGUAGGUGGUGCUGUAAGUCUGACGUGAAAUCUCUGGGCUUAACCCAGAAUCCGCGCCAGGAACUGCAGUGCUCGAGUGUGGGAGAGGAGAGUGGAAUUCCCGGUGUAGCGGUGAAAUGCGUAGAUAUCAAGAGGAACACCUGCGGCGAAGGUGGGUUGCUGGGCUGACACUGACGCUGAAGUGCGAAAGCCAGGGGAGCGAACGGG